UACGUAGGGUGCGAGCGUUGCCCGGAUUUAUUGGGCGUAAAGGGCGCGCAGGCGGCCACGCACGUCCGUUGUGAAAUCGCUCGGCUCAACUGGGCGGGGUCAGCGGAUACGGCGUGGCUGGAGCAAGCUAGGGGGCAAUGGAAUUCCCGGUGUAGUGGUGGAAUGCGUAGAUAUCGGGAGGAACACCAGUGGCGAAGGCGGUUGCCUGGAGCUUUGCUGACGCUGAGGCGCGAAAGCCAGGGGAGCGAACGGG
RNAcentral lists this ribosomal RNA (253 nucleotides) under uncultured bacterium. RNAcentral describes it as "partial 16S ribosomal RNA". It matches the Rfam family "Bacterial small subunit ribosomal RNA", at positions 524 to 776 of the family's 1533-position model. The record is from RNAcentral.